CAACGCGCGUCACUUAAGAUCGCGAAAGUGAAAGUAAGCACAGCGUCGUAUUCUUCCUGGAGUGUCGCUUCUAAAUUCAUUUUAAAUUCGUCUGCAAAGUAUCGAGCUCAUUCAAAAUGCUUUACCAGCUCAAUAUUUUAAGGAUAACAGGAGUAAAAACACUUGUCGAUGUGGCGAACUCAGAGGAGGAAUUCAGGAACACCACGGUUGAAGAGUUGAAAAGAAUCUUUUUAAAAUACGACGACGACUUAAGAAAAACGCAACUCUUAAGACUGCUCUUCGCAGGUCGUCAACUGGAGGAUUGUGAUACUCUUGGGAAACAUGGCAUUACACACAGAGCUACUAUUUUAGUCAUUUUUCGUCUACUUGGUGGAGGUCCACUUCCACCUGAAGAUGAAGAUAAAAGAAUACCCAGGACUGAAUCAAUGGAAAGAUUAGCUUCAAUGCAGCAGACUGAGCCAGAACUCAACACAUCAUGUCUGAUUCUGUAGUUCAGUUCAGCCUCAUAUAAAUCCAUACACUGUGGGCUCAUAAGUGUAAUAUCAUUUACAAUUACUACCAUAAAAUACAUACUGUAUUCUCUUCUGGUUUCAGCCUCUUAGAGUAAAAUAGUUCAUAACACCUUGUACAAAUAUGAAAAAUAUAAACAGUCACAAUGAACUGCUCACCUGUACCCAAAAACACCAUUUACAGUUAAAGAGUCAUUAGUUAACAGAAUAAUAACCCGUCCAUAAAGAACACAGAUUCACUCUGAACAUUUACUAGCAUUUCUCUUGUUAAUUAUAAAUUCUCUUGUGUUACAACAUUUGUAACUUUUGCUGAAGAGGCUGAAAUCAGAACAAAAUACAUGAUAUUGAAUUUCAAGGUAGUACAUUUGAACAAAAUAUGAACAACAGUUUUUAAGGCUCUGUUAAUAGUCUUAAAACUGACCCUUUAUUCUGUCACCAUAAAAUAAAGUGCCUCAUGGGUAUUUAAUGAUAAAGUGUUUAUCUGUAUAGUCAGGGCAGGUUUAGGGAGAGCUAGAAUCUAUCAUUGUUAGCACUUAGCAUAUCACUGAAAUACUGCUAUUUUCACUCUGUGUAAAACGCCCAUCAUAUUUCGGGUAAUAUGAUCAGACUAGUUUUAGAUUACUCUUGACCUAACUUGUUUAUCAAAUUGACUUAAACAACAUAAUCUUGUACCAUUUUGAAAUAAAAAUACAAAGAGAAAGCAAAUACAUUCCAUGUGUUGUUGUUAACAGCAUUAAGUGCAUUAAACAUUGUAUUAGAUCCCAAGUCAAGGUUUCACAAGUUAAAGUAAAUCUAUUAGGUGACAGAGGAUCAAAAGUUGUGAGUUCAUGCAUUUUAAUGUGUUUGAAAGAAAAAAACCUUCCAAAAGACAUAUCAAUACAUGUUUAAAUAACCUAAAGAGUAAUAAUGCAA
Molecule: long non-coding RNA, 1421 nt
Organism: Carassius auratus (goldfish)
Lineage: Eukaryota; Metazoa; Chordata; Actinopteri; Cypriniformes; Cyprinidae
Exons: 3
Source: RefSeq, a predicted model, not a curated record